CCGAGUGGGGGGUUUUUUUGAGAAUUUGCUCCUGGACUGCUCAUUUUGUAUAGUACUAUUGCUAAUUUGUUCUCUUUUCAGCCUGAGGCCGUACAGUUUGAAUGUUAAUUCCUCUGCUCUCUUAUCCAUCUUAAUAAUCUAUGGUCUUGUCGAAAUCCUCAUAAUAAUACUUUACUCUCUAUUUCUCUAAGAAUAAUUUCUGCUAAGGGGGCUGCCAUAGGACUUCUUAUUGGGAUCCCCUUAGUUUGCUGAUAGUAGUUGCCCCAAAAUAUAUAAAAUGAUUUGUGGCAAAUGAUGUAAGUGAGUUCUCGUGAAAGCAGUGCUCUUUCUUGCGAGUUGGGUGUAUUUAUUUGCAUGAAUCUAUAAAACGCUAAACUUGUUGGUUCUAGCUCAAGGGAAGACUAGAGACUUUCAAAAUCAAAUGUUCACAUGACAUUUUGUUGCUGCCAGUCGAUUGCUCAUAGCCUUGCCAAGGCUUAUGUUGUUAUUGUGGUGCAAUUAUCAGUUCGGCCUAAGAUAGCCACUGAUAAUUCCAUCACAAUAGCCAUAAACAGGGCACCAAUGAUUUUCGGUGAAUUAUGCAACGGAGGGGACCCUGGGAAGGACAGGGAGAGGGCGGGUGUUUAUAGAGUCCCUGUGAAGGGUAUUAUCAUGCAACAGUAAGCAGCCUACAUU
RNAcentral lists this long non-coding RNA (675 nucleotides) under Androctonus crassicauda. The record is from RNAcentral. Lineage: Eukaryota; Metazoa; Arthropoda; Arachnida; Scorpiones; Buthidae.